Molecule: long non-coding RNA, 539 nt
Filed under: Nicotiana benthamiana
Lineage: Eukaryota; Viridiplantae; Streptophyta; Magnoliopsida; Solanales; Solanaceae
Description: long non-coding RNA (NBEN_LNC022513)
Source: RNAcentral
UGAAAUUUUGCACAAAAUAGGAAGGCCACUGAAACAAGCUAAGCACGCAUUUGCACAAAAAUAGAUGAACAAACUUUGCCCAUGGCUGAACAAGUCUGAAUUUGGCACCAUAUUUCAAUAAAUGGGUGGGUCAAUCCUUAGACGGAUUAGGUGGGUCAUUUGGGCUUGAACUAAAUUUGACAGCCUUAGUUGCUGGGACACAAAUCCUCUCUGCAUAUGAUGGAUUGCGUGGAAAGUAAAGAACCAGAGAGUUCUUGAAAACACGUAUGGUUAUAUCUUUAGGUUAAAGAAUAGAUGUGUUUUCCUUAUGGCUUAUUAGGGUAAAAAUGGCUAAUGUGAAUGAUGUAGAUAGCACACUGAAUUUUCUGAGUCUGUUACAGUAGGCUGAACAGAUUUUUUUAAAUCACGAUGUGCACAAACUUAAUAAAAAGGAACGGGGAGAUUGACGGGGACGUCACCCAUCGGAUAGGAGCAGGGUGGUCGAAGUGGAGGCUUGCUUCUGGGGUCCUGUGUGACAAGAAAAUCCCACACAAACUCNN